AUUGAACGCUGGCGGCAUGCCUUACACAUGCAAGUCGAACGGUAACGGGCCUUCGGGUGCCGACGAGUGGCGAACGGGUGAGUAAUACAUCGGAACGUGCCCGAUCGUGGGGGAUAACGAGGCGAAAGCUUUGCUAAUACCGCAUACGAUCUACGGAUGAAAGCAGGGGACCGCAAGGCCUUGCGCGGACGGAGCGGCCGAUGGCAGAUUAGGUAGUUGGUGGGAUAAAAGCUUACCAAGCCGACGAUCUGUAGCUGGUCUGAGAGGAUGAACAGCCACACUGGGACGGAGACACGGCCCAGACUCCUACGGGAGGCAGCAGUGGGGAAUUUUGGACAAUGGGCGCAAGCCUGAUCCAGCCAUGCCGCGUGCAGGAUGAAGGCCUUCGGGUUGUAAACUGCUUUUGUACGGAACGAAAAGCCUUCUUUUAAUACAGGAGGGUCAUGACGGUACCGUAAGAAUAAGCACCGGCUAACUACGUG
Molecule: ribosomal RNA, 482 nt
Filed under: uncultured bacterium
Lineage: Bacteria
Description: partial 16S ribosomal RNA
Rfam family: Bacterial small subunit ribosomal RNA
Source: RNAcentral